AGAGUUUGAUCCUGGCUCAGAUUGAACGCUGGCGGCAGGCUUAACACAUGCAAGUCGAGCGGAGAUGAGGUGCUUGCACCUUAUCUUAGCGGCGGACGGGUGAGUAAUGCUUAGGAAUCUGCCAUUUAGUGGGGGACAACAUUCCGAAAGGAAUGCUAAUACCGCAUACGUCCUACGGGAGAAAGCAGGGGAUCUUCGGACCUUGCGCUAAAUGAUGAGCCUAAGUCGGAUUAGCUAGUUGGUGGGGUAAAGGCCUACCAAGGCGACGAUCUGUAGCGGGUCUGAGAGGAUGAUCCGCCACACUGGGACUGAGACACGGCCCAGACUCCUACGGGAGGCAGCAGUGGGGAAUAUUGGACAAUGGGCGGAAGCCUGAUCCAGCCAUGCCGCGUGUGUGAAGAAGGCCUUUUGGUUGUAAAGCACUUUAAGCGAGGAGGAGGCUCUUCUAGUUAAUACCUAGGAUGAGUGGACGUUACUCGCAGAAUAAGCACCGGCUAACUCUGUGCCAGCAGCCGCGGUAAUACAGAGGGUGCGAGCGUUAAUCGGAUUUACUGGGCGUAAAGCGUGCGUAGGCGGCUGAUUAAGUCGGAUGUGAAAUCCCUGAG
This 605-nucleotide ribosomal RNA is filed under the name uncultured freshwater bacterium. RNAcentral describes it as "bacterial SSU rRNA". It matches the Rfam family "Bacterial small subunit ribosomal RNA", at positions 8 to 607 of the family's 1533-position model. The record is from RNAcentral.